This 423-nucleotide ribosomal RNA is filed under the name uncultured bacterium. Its description in RNAcentral is "bacterial SSU rRNA". It matches the Rfam family "Bacterial small subunit ribosomal RNA", at positions 355 to 775 of the family's 1533-position model. The record is from RNAcentral.
UAGGGAAUAUUGGGCAAUGGACGCAAGUCUGACCCAGCCAUGCCGCGUGAAGGAUGAAGGUCCUCUGGAUUGUAAACUUCUUUUAUUAGGGAAGAAACCCCCCGAUUCAUCGGGGGCUGACGGUACCUAAGGAAUAAGCACCGGCUAACUCCGUGCCAGCAGCCGCGGUAAUACGGAGGGUGCAAGCGUUAUCCGGAUUCACUGGGUUUAAAGGGAGCGUAGGCGGGUUGGUAAGUCAGUGGUGAAAGCCCCGAGCUCAACUUGGGAAUUGCCAUUGAUACUGCUAAUCUUGAGUGAGGUUGAAGUGGGCGGAAUAUGACAUGUAGCGGUGAAAUGCUUAGAUAUGUCAUAGAACACCGAUUGCGAAGGCAGCUCACUAAGCCUUUACUGACGCUGAGGCUCGAAAGCGUGGGGAUCAAACAG